AUUGAACGCUGGCGGCAUGCCUUACACAUGCAAGUCGAACGGCAGCACGGGAGCAAUCCUGGUGGCGAGUGGCGAACGGGUGAGUAAAGUAUCGGAACGUGCCCAGUCGUGGGGGAUAACGUAGCGAAAGUUACGCCAAUACCGCAUACGAUCUAUGGAUGAAAGCGGGGGAUCGCAAGACCUCGCGCGAUUGGAGCGGCCGAUAUCAGAUUAGGUAGUUGGUGGGGUAAAGGCUCACCAAGCCGACGAUCUGUAGCUGGUCUGAGAGGACGACCAGCCACACUGGGACUGAGACACGGCCCAGACUCCUACGGGAGGCAGCAGUGGGGAAUUUUGGACAAUGGGCGAAAGCCUGAUCCAGCCAUGCCGCGUGCAGGAUGAAGGCCUUCGGGUUGUAAACUGCUUUUGUACGGAACGAAAAGGUUUGGGCUAAUAAGCUGAGCUCAUGACGGUACCGUAAGAAUAAGCACCGGCUAACUACGUGCCAGCAGCCGCAGUAA
This 500-nucleotide ribosomal RNA is filed under the name uncultured bacterium. Its description in RNAcentral is "partial 16S ribosomal RNA". It matches the Rfam family "Bacterial small subunit ribosomal RNA", at positions 30 to 523 of the family's 1533-position model. The record is from RNAcentral.